AGUGAACGCUGGCGGCAGGCCUAACACAUGCAAGUCGAACGGCAGCACAGUAAGAGCUUGCUCUUACGGGUGGCGAGUGGCGGACGGGUGAGGAAUACAUCGGAAUCUACUUUUUCGGGGGGGAUAACGUAGGGAAACUUACGCUAAUACCGCAUACGACCUACGGGUGAAAGCAGGGGAUCUUCGCACCUUGCGCGAUUGAACGAGCCGAUGUCGGAUUAGCUAGUUGGCGGGGUACAGGCCCACCAAGGCGAGGAUCCGUAGCCAGUCGGAGAGGAUGGUCAGCCGCACUGGGAGUGAGACAGGGCCCAGAGGCCUAGGGGAGCGGGCAGUGGGGAUUCGGGGGGAAGGGGGGGAGGCCGGAGCAAGCCGGACGGCGUGGUGGAAGAGGGCCUUCGGGUGGGAAAGCCCUUUUGUGGGGAAGGAAAAGCAGCAGGUUAGUACCCAGGUGUGCUGACGGUACCUAAGGAAAAAGCCCCGGCCAACUUCGUG
This 492-nucleotide ribosomal RNA is filed under the name uncultured bacterium. Its description in RNAcentral is "partial 16S ribosomal RNA". It matches the Rfam family "Bacterial small subunit ribosomal RNA", at positions 30 to 507 of the family's 1533-position model. The record is from RNAcentral.